Molecule: ribosomal RNA, 397 nt
Filed under: uncultured bacterium
Lineage: Bacteria
Description: bacterial SSU rRNA
Rfam family: Bacterial small subunit ribosomal RNA
Source: RNAcentral
UAAUACGUAGGGAGCAAGCGUUGUUCGGAAUUAUUGGGCGUAAAGAGCGCGUAGGCGGUUUGGUAAGUCUGAUGUGAAAUCCCGGAGCUUAACUCCGGAACUGCAUUGGAAACUGCCAGGCUUGAGUGCGGGAGAGGUGAGUGGAAUUCCCAGUGUAGAGGUGAAAUUCGUAGAUAUUGGGAGGAACACCGGUGGCGAAGGCGGCUCACUGGACCGCAACUGACGCUGAGGCGCGAAAGCUCGGGGAGCAAACGGGAUUAGAUACCCCGGUAGUCCGAGCCGUAAACGAUGGGCACUAGGUGUAGGAGGUAUCGACCCCUCCUGUGCCGCAGCUAACGCAUUAAGUGCCCCGCCUGGGGAGUACGGUCGCAAGACUAAAACUUAAAUGAAUUGACGG